Molecule: long non-coding RNA, 4827 nt
Filed under: Ananas comosus (pineapple)
Lineage: Eukaryota; Viridiplantae; Streptophyta; Magnoliopsida; Poales; Bromeliaceae
Description: long non-coding RNA (ACOM_LNC044884)
Source: RNAcentral
UUACCCGUCUGACUCAGAAAGGCACCAAGUUCGUUUGGAGCGAGGAGUGCGACCGGAGUUUUAAAGAGUUGAAGGAAAGGCUAACUUCGACUCCAGUACUCGCUUUACCUGUAAGGAAGUGAAUUCUCGAAAUUCGAGAGUUGUACUUCAUCCAGGAUCGACUAAUUGUCGAGAGAAUACCCUUUGGGGAAGUUAAAGAUGUCCAAAACACAAAAAGUGCUUUGGAGUUGAGUCCACGAGAGCUAAUGGUGCAAACANACUCUGUCCGCAUGCAGGGGAAACCCUGUCCGUUCGGCGGUCUGUUGGCGUGCCCGAAUCCGACCAAAGAGGCGGGCUCGGGGCGUGACAGCGAAGAAUCUCGCUUUUGAUGUUACCCAGCAAACACCCCUAUGGCGGGAUAUGAAACGACUGGAUCUCGAAGUGGUUCCUCCCGAGAUUCCAGCCCAGUUGAUGGCACUCGUCGUCCAACCGACCUUGUUGGAGAGGAUUAAAGACUUGCAACCUGCGGAUCCAGAACUCCAAAAGGUGCGGUGAAACAUCGAGGAUGGUCGAGGUGGCGAUUUCAGUAUAAACGCCGAUGGUGCACUUCGGUUUAGAAACCGAUGGUGUGUGCCGAAAGAUGGAGAGCUUCGCGAAUUGAUUCUACAAGAAGCACACCGAUCUCCGUACGCUGAUCACCCGGGCGGCACCAAAAUGUAUCAAGGACUAAAAAUGCACUAUUGGUGGCCGGGAAUGAAGGGUGAUAUUGGGCGCUUUGUGGCGAAGUGCUUAACGUGCCAGCAAGUGAAAGCAGAGCGUCGGUUUCCAGCGGGAAAGCUUCAAAGCCUACCAAUCCCCGUUUGGAAAUGGUAAGAUGUAUCAAUGGACUUCGUGGUCGGCUUGCCUCGCUCAACGGGCGGCCACGAUGCAAUUUGGGUAAUUGUGGACCGAUUGAUGAAGUCGGCUCACUUCUUGUCGAUCCACACCACGUGGUCGGGUGACAAAUUAGCGCAGGUAUACCUUGACGAGAUAGUGAGACUGCAUGGGGUGCCGAAAUUGAUCGUGUCGGAUCGUGACCCCCGGUUCACUUCACACUUCUGGAAGAGCUUGCAGGAAGCCCUUGACACACGGCUCGAUUUCAGCACUGCGUUUCAUCCUCAGACCGAUGGGCAAACAGAGAGAACCAUUCAAACUCUGGAGGACAUGCUGCGAGCGUGUGUCAUCGACUAUAAGGGAAGUUGGUGUGACCACCUACCUAUGGCGAGUUCGCCUACAACAACAGUUAUCAUGCUAGUGUGGAGAUGGCACCGUUCGAGGCUCUCUAUGGGCGGACGUGCCGGUCUCCUAUACAUUGGAGCGAUGUAGGUGAACGAGCUGAGUUUGGCCCUGAUGUGUUGCGAGAAGCGGAGGAGAAAGUCCGCCUUGCUCGCAAGAGAUUGCUCACGGCGCAGUCGAGACAGCAGAGCUAUGCAGAUAGGCGCCGACGAGAUAUAGAGUUCGCGGUGGGUGACCGAGUAUUCUUGAAGGUCUCACCAAUGAGGGGUGUAAAGCGGUUUGGAGUGCGGGGAAAGCUGAGUCCCCGGUACAUUGGACCCUAUGAAAUAUUAGAGCGAGUAGGCACGGUGGCGUAUCGGCUUGCCUUGCCGCUGAAGCUCGUGGAUGUACACAAUGUGUUCCAUGUCUCCAAUCUCCGCAAGUAUAUUCAUGACCCCGAGCACGCAAUGCUAUAUGAGCCGCCGGAACUUCAAGGAGACUUGAGCUAUGAAGAGUUUCCGGUAGGGGUAACCGCCCGAGAGGUGCGAAAGUUGAGAAAUCGAGAAAUCCCCUAUGUGAAAAUUCGGUGGAGCAAUCAUGAUGAUCGUGAGGCCACCUGGGAACUCGAAGAUCUGAUGAGAAAGCACCACCCUCAUUUGUUCGAGGAGUGAGGUAAGAAUUUAAGUUAAAGUAAGGAAUCAGAUUAGUUUCGAGGACGAAACUCCUUUUAAGGAAGGGAGGAUGUAAGGAAGUGAAUUCUCGAAAUCCGAGAGUUGUACUUCAUCCAGGAUCGACUAAUUGUCGAGAGAAUACCCUUUGGGGAAGUUAAAGAUGUCCAAAACACAAAAAGUGCUUUGGAGUUGAGUCCACGAGAGCUAAUGGUGCAAACAACAUUAUUGGGCUGAUGUUGCUCUCGGGGACCGGUCUCUGGAGGUGAGAGACCGGUUCCAUUAGCUGGGCGUGAGGGGUUGCAAGGUGCAACCGGUCCCUGACAGGGAGGGACCGGUUCCCGAACGUGGUCCCAGCGAGAAAUGCCGAAAUUUGGCUAAGUCCUGAAAAUUGAGCUCUCGGGGACCGGUCUCUCAGGCGAGGACCGGUCUCCCGAGGACCGGUCUCCCGGGGAGAGAUCGGUUCCCGAACGCGUGCACCCGAGGGAGGCUCUCGGGGACCGGUCCCAAGUCGGGGAGACCGGUCCCUCCGCGCGAAAAUUGCCCAGUGAAGGCUGUGCAAGGGGUUAAAAGUUGAGGGACCUAAAUGCAAAAUGGCCUUUAUUAGAGUGGGCUGGGCCCUCUCUCUCCCUCACACUCUCUCAUUCCACUCUCUCUCACUCCUAUUUCUCUCUUGCUCUCUCUCUCUCUAGGAAGGAAAGGAGAAGAAGAAGAACAAGAAGGAGAGGAAGGAAAAGAAGAGGAAGGAAAGGAAUGAGAAGAAGAAGAAGAUCAAGAAGAAGGCCUUGGACACCUUCAUCUCCCUCUUAUCUUCUCUUUGGUGUAGCACAAGAGGUGAGCUCUUGAAUCCUAGCUUUGUAAACUUAGGGCUUUGGGUUUUUAUGCUUUGGAAUGGGUCAAAUGGACCCUAAGCAUGCUUCUAAAUAGAUCAAUCCCAAGAAUCUAGGGUUUUAUUGGUGGUUUGCUAUAUGUGCAACCUAGGGCUCCAAAUGGGGGCGUUUUGUAAAGUAUGAGAUUGAUCUCAUUUGAGGCCUUGUAAACCUAAUCGAUAGGUGCCCAAACGCGGGGGCGAAGUCGAUUUCGCGAUUCGUCGAGCGAGCUUGGAGCUAUCGGCGAAACACGGUCGUUUUGGCACUAUCUUGGAUUAAGGAAGGCUAAAGCCUUUUCGUAAAGCUCGCCGAGGAGCGUUCUUAAAGCCUCUACGUUGAUAAAAGGUGGGGGGUGCCAUCCCGAAGCUUUCGAACUCCUUUCUAUGUCUUAGAUUGCAUUUAAUCUCAUCUCUUCAUGUUGCAUUGUAGGAUUGCAUAGUAGCUCCAUUCCUUAUGCUUUCUAAUUGAUAACCUAGUGUACUUGGAACGCUUGGUAACUUAGAUAGGUGAGGAUUGGGUCGGAACGUGGAUCCUAUGAUGCGAAAGAAAAGAGAUGAACCCGAUGGGGGUAUUGAUGACAUAGAAAGUAGUGUUUAGUGUUAAAGAACACACGAGUGGCAUCCAAAUGUUAAAUGAUGACGAGUGGCAUUAAUGUAGUGUAAAUAACACUAGAGGUCGAUGGACCUAGGGAUAGGUGGAUCCCUUAGAAAAUGCCUUGUGAACAAUGAAUUUAGAAAACUAAAUAGCAUUGCAUGAAUGUCGGGAACCGAUGAUUCCGCGAUAGUCGUUGACCCUAGUGUAGGGCGUCCUCACUUGGAGAGGAUUCGAUUGGGUUAUUGACUCUAGUUGUAGAGCCUCCUCACUUGGAGAGGAUUGGAUUGGGUGUUGACCCUAGUUACAGUGUAUCCUCACAUGGAGAGGAUAGAUCUAGCUCACAGUCUGCGUUUAGGGUGGCAUAGCCAUCCAAUCCCCACAUGGAGGGGAUUGUCGUCGAGUACUCCGGAGUGUCGCGCGACUAGGACCACUUGGAGGUCCGGACCACAUGGAGGUCCGCAGACGGUCCCGGGCUUGGGUGCACUUGGAGCUCCCUCCCCACUUUGGGAUUGAAAGGUGAGUCAUGGGCGAGCCCUAGGGCCUCGCCACAGUUUGGGUAAAUGAAAGGUUAAAGGUUUAAUAAAUGUCAUUGAACAUAGCUAUUCGAACAUGGAUCGAAUUUGUUAGCCUGGUAGCAAACCUUUAUUAUAUGAUGCAUGCAUUCAUAUUCAUGAUUAUGGGCAUAAUAGCAUAGUUUUCCUACUACCGCAUUUACAGCUUUCAGAUAUCUAUCUAUCUAUCUACCUAUUGUUGCUUGUGCCCACUUGGACCUAGUGGGGAGAUCGGCAGAGUCGGCGCCCGAUCCCACUGGGAACUAUGGAAGAUAUUUCUCACCCCACUCUAUUUCCAGUGGUAGGUACAGGGUUACCGAGAGAGGACCGCGGCAAGGGCAUCGCGCCCGAUCUGUGAGACCGUGGUAGUAUAGUAGCUUUCCCUUUUUGCAUUAGUACACCUAUGUAUUGAGAGAGAUUCAUGUAGGUGAGGUUGGAGAGCUAUGUAUUUUGAGGAUCAAUGUAUUCAUUUUGGGAAAAUGAUGUAAAUGUAAAAGAAUGCAACUAUUGUAAUAGUUAGUAAAGUACUCUCUUAUUUCACUCGUAUAUCUCGUGGAUUACUUGCUCUCCUUGUUGUUGGCACUGUUUGUGCCCUCGUUGAAUGUGUAUGUUUAGAAUUUAAAUUCCUGGGUAAAUUCUUGUACACAUUCCUGUUGUUGAGCCUUGGGCGGACAGGAGAGAUGCUGUCCGUUCGGCGGUCCGUCGCCGCGGCCGAAUCGUGCCAAAUUGGUAAUGGUUUCGGGGCGGGGCGUGACAUUACCGGUGCAGGGCGAAGACUUCAUGAUCUAUAGCGACGCUUCCUAUCUAGGAUUGGGGUGUGUUUUGAUGCAGGGCGGGAAAGUAAUUGCUUAUGCAUCCCGUCAGCUGAAGAGCUAUGAAAAGAACUACCCCAUUCACGACUUGAAGCUAGCG